AAAAAAGACGAGUUUCGAAAUUGCAACCAAACCCCCUUCUGCAAACGCGCCCGCUCCAGGAAGCCUGGUGCGUGUUCACUAAUCGCCCAUGACGUAGCCAUCUCCGACGGUCACCUCACCGCCAAGCUUCUCCCCAAAACCCUACCAGAAUUAGAUCAAGGUCUAGAAGAUCAAAUCAAGCCUUUGAUCCUUACUCUCUCGAUCUAUCAAGAUGGCAUCAUGCGUCUCAAAAUCGAUGAGGAUCUCUCUCUGGAGCCUCCGAAAAGACGCUUCCAAGUCCCUGACGUAAUCAUCCCGGAUUUCGAGAACAAGAAGCUAUGGCUCCAGAGGGUUUCAACAGAAACGAUCGACGGGGACGCUGGUCCCUCCUCCGUCGUUUACUUAUCGGACGAGUAUGAGGCUGUCCUUCGUCAUGAUCCAUUCGAGGUUUAUGUCCGCGAGAAAAAAUCUAAUGAUCGCCGUGUGGUUUCCUUGAAUUCUCAUCAGUUGUUCGAUUUGGAGCAAUUGAGGCCUAAAAAGGAAGGGGAUGAUUGGGAGGAGAGGUUUAGGGGUCAUACAGACACGAGGCCCUACGGUCCCCAAUCCAUUAGUUUUGAUGUGUCCUUUUACGGUGCUGAUUUCGUGUCAGGGAUACCGGAGCACGCCACGAGUCUCGCCUUGAGGCCUACCAGAGGUCCUGGAGUCGACUAUUCUGAGCCUUACAGAUUGUUUAAUUUGGAUGUUUUUGAGUACUUGCAUGACUCGCCCUUUGGCCUCUAUGGGUCUAUCCCUUUCAUGAUUGCGCAUGGCAAAACCGGAAAAAGCUCUGGAUUUUUCUGGUUGAAUGCAGCCGAAAUGCAGAUUGAUGUUUUAGGAGAUGGAUGGGACGCAGAGUCUGGGAUUUCGCUGCCUUCAGGGCAGAAAAGAAUUGAUACCUUUUGGAUGAGUGAGGCUGGGAUUGUGGAUGCCUUCUUCUUUCUGGGUCCAGGCCCCAAGGAUGUUGUCAGCCAAUACACGAGUGUCACUGGAAAACCUUCAAUGCCACAAUUAUUUGCAACUGCUUAUCAUCAAUGUAGGUGGAAUUACAGGGAUGAGGAGGAUGUUGAGAAUGUGGAUUCCAAAUUUGAUGAGCAUGAUAUUCCUUAUGAUGUUUUGUGGCUUGAUAUUGAGCACACAGAUGGUAAAAGGUACUUCACAUGGGAUCCUGUUUUGUUUCCACAUCCAGAGGAUAUGCAGAAGAAAUUGGCAGUCAAGGGAAGGCACAUGGUUACUAUUGUGGACCCUCAUGUUAAGCGGGAUGAGUCGUUUCGGCUGCAUAAACAGGCUACAGAGAAGGGUUACUAUGUGAAGGAUGCAAGUGGGAAUGAUUAUGAGGGAUGGUGCUGGCCCGGUUCAUCUUCCUACUUGGACAUGUUGAAUCCAGAGAUCAGAUCAUGGUGGGGUGACAAGUUCUCAUACAAGGAGUAUGUGGGUUCAACCCCUACAUUGUAUAUUUGGAACGAUAUGAAUGAGCCUUCAGUGUUCAAUGGCCCAGAGGUAACAAUGCCUAGAGAUAUUUUGCAUUAUGGGGGCAUAGAGCACAGGGAGUUGCAUAAUUCCUACGGCUACUUCUUCCACAUGGCAACAUCUGAUGGGCUUUUAAAGCGCGGAGAUGGGAAGAGCAGGCCCUUCGUUUUGUCAAGAGCAUUUUAUGCUGGAAGUCAAAGGUAUGGAGCUGUUUGGACUGGAGACAACACAGCAGAUUGGGAUCAAUUAAGGGUUUCAGUUCCAAUGAUUCUGACUCUAGGUCUCACUGGAAUGUCAUUCUCUGGCGCGGAUGUUGGUGGCUUCUUUGGGAAUCCAGAGCCCGAGUUACUCGUUCGCUGGUAUCAGCUUGGUGCUUACUAUCCUUUCUUUCGAGCUCAUGCUCAUCUUGACACUAAGAGAAGAGAACCUUGGCUAUUUGGGGAGCGAAAUACAGAGCUUAUCAGAGAAGCCAUACAUGUUCGUUACAUGUUGCUCCCAUAUUUCUACACAUUAUUCAGAGAAGCAAACUUUAGUGGUAUUCCUGUCAUGCGGCCUUUGUGGAUGGAGUUCCCUUCUGAUGAAGCUACUUUCAGCAAUGAUGAAGCUUUCAUGGUUGGAGGCAGUCUUUUGGUGCAAGGGAUUUACACUGAGCGAGCUAAACAUGCUUCUGUCUACUUGCCUGGGAAAGAAUCUUGGUAUGACCUCAGAACAGGAGCUGCAUUUAAGGGAGGUAGAACCCACAAGCUGGAGGUUUCAGAGGAGAGUGUUCCUGCUUUCCAAAGGGCUGGAACUAUCAUACCAAGAAAGGACCGGUAUCGUCGAAGCUCCACACAGAUGGUGAAUGAUCCUUACAGUCUGGUGAUAGCUCUAAACAGUUCUCAAUCAGCUGAAGGAGAACUUUACAUUGACGAUGGUGAAAGUUUUGAUUUCUUGCAAGGGGCAUACAUCCAUCGCCGCAUCAUGUUCUCAGAUGGCAAGCUUACUUCUGUAAACUUGGCUUCCAAUACUGGUGGCAAAUCUCAAUUUUCUUCAAAAUGCGUCAUCGAAAGAAUUAUACUACUAGGAUACUCACCUAGGCCAAAGACUGCAGUAAUUGAACCAGCAAAUCAAAAAGUUGAAAUUGAACUUGGGCCACUUCGGCUUCAAAGUGGUGCACGUGGAGCUUCUUUUGUAACCAUCCGCAAACCAGUGGUCCGAAUUGGAGAUGAUUGGACAAUAAAAAUUUUGUAAGAACCAAUCGGGAUCAUAAGAUUUUCCUUAGGAAAGAUUUUCCCGGUUAAUUACUAGGAUGUAGUCAACUAAAAGAUCGGACUUGUGUUUCACAAAUACUGGGGUCAUGCAAGGUCCAAAACGCUAUUUGAUUGCUGUUUGCUAGGAGGGACUGGGCUUCUCACAAUACCUAACAUUGACCAUAAGCGUAAUU
RNAcentral lists this unclassified non-coding RNA (2908 nucleotides) under Hevea brasiliensis (rubber tree). Lineage: Eukaryota; Viridiplantae; Streptophyta; Magnoliopsida; Malpighiales; Euphorbiaceae. The record is from RNAcentral.